RNAcentral lists this ribosomal RNA (494 nucleotides) under Ursus americanus (American black bear). RNAcentral's name for it is "partial 16S ribosomal RNA". The stretch from base 233 to 350 matches the Rfam family "Bacterial large subunit ribosomal RNA", at positions 714 to 852 of the family's 2925-position model. Lineage: Eukaryota; Metazoa; Chordata; Mammalia; Carnivora; Ursidae. The record is from RNAcentral.
CUAGCCCAGACAAUGACUAAUCAAACUACUACAGGCCAAUUAAAUAAAACAUUCAGUAAUACAAUUAAAGUAUAGGAGAUAGAAAUUCUUUUAAUCGGAGCUAUAGAGGAAGUACCGCGAGGGAGUGAUGAGAAGACUACUUAAAGUGAGAGGCAGCGAAGAUUACCCCUUCUACCUUUUGCAUAUUGAGUUAGCCAGAGAUAAUCUCACAAAGAGAACUUAAGCUAGGUCCCCCGAAACCAGACGAGCUACCUAUGAACAACCUACUGGGGUAAACUCAUCUAUGUUGCAAGAUAGUGAGUAGAUUUAUAGGUAGAGGUGUGAAGCCUAACGAGCCUGGUGAUAGCUGGUUGCCCAGAACAGAAUUUUAGUUCAACUCUAAACUUGCCCACACCACUUGAAAUGAUUAAUGCAAGACUGUAAUAUAUCCCCUCAAGGACCAGCUUUUUAGAAUCAAAGAAUCAACCUUACUUAGAGAGUAAUUAUUAUACUAA